RNAcentral lists this ribosomal RNA (253 nucleotides) under uncultured bacterium. RNAcentral's name for it is "partial 16S ribosomal RNA". It matches the Rfam family "Bacterial small subunit ribosomal RNA", at positions 524 to 776 of the family's 1533-position model. The record is from RNAcentral.
UACGUAGGGUGCAAGCGUUAAUCGGAAUUACUGGGCGUAAAGCGUGCGCAGGCGGUUCGCUAAGACAGAUGUGAAAUCCCCGGGCUUAACCUGGGAACUGCAUUUGUGACUGGCGGGCUAGAGUAUGGCAGAGGAGGGUAGAAUUCCACGUGUAGCAGUGAAAUGCGUAGAGAUGUGGAGGGAUACCGAUGGCGAAGGCAGCCCCCUGGGCCAAUACUGACGCUCAUGCACGAAAGCGUGGGGAGCAAACAGG